This is a long non-coding RNA of Metopolophium dirhodum (rose-grain aphid), 214 nucleotides long. RefSeq lists it as uncharacterized. The record is from RefSeq and is a predicted model, not a curated record. Lineage: Eukaryota; Metazoa; Arthropoda; Insecta; Hemiptera; Aphididae. The transcript is spliced from 3 exons.
CUAGGUUUCACCGGAAGAGUCGAUGCUUACGCUUCUGUAAUCUUGAGCGUUUCCUCAUGGGCGUCGCAGUUCACACACGUCACGGAUUCCGCCGAAAGAGUCGAUAAUUAAAACUGAACUUUUGGAUCGAAGAUAUGCAUUUUCCUUGGCGGAGAUGCACAGCUCUGACACUAGACAAUAUUAUACACUCGAAGGGAACGCGUUUCGCCGGAAG